Long non-coding RNA from Oncorhynchus tshawytscha (Chinook salmon), 398 nucleotides. The record is from Ensembl. Lineage: Eukaryota; Metazoa; Chordata; Actinopteri; Salmoniformes; Salmonidae.
CUGUAACUAUUCCCCAGGUCGUUGCUGUAAAUGAGAAUGUGUUCUCAUUCAUCCCCCUCCUCUCCCCUGUAACUAUUCCCCAGGUCGUUGCUGUAAAUGAGAAUGUGUUCUCAUUCAUCCCCCUCCUCUCCCCUGUAACUAUUCCCCAGGUCGUUGCUGUAAAUGAGAAUGUGUUCUCAUUCAUCCCCCUCCUCUCCCCUGUAACUAUUCCCCAGGUUGUUGCUGUAAAUGAGAAGGUGUUCUCAGUCAUCCCCCUCAUCUCCCCUGUAACUAUUCCCCAGGUCGUUGCUGUAAAUGAGAAGGUGUUCUCAGUCAUCCCCCUCCUCUCCCCUGUAACUAUUCCCCAGGUUGUUGCUGUAAAUGAGAAGGUGUUCUCAGUCAUCCCCCUCCUCUCCCCU